RNAcentral lists this ribosomal RNA (2902 nucleotides) under Escherichia coli. RNAcentral describes it as "bacterial LSU rRNA". It matches the Rfam family "Bacterial large subunit ribosomal RNA". Lineage: Bacteria; Pseudomonadati; Pseudomonadota; Gammaproteobacteria; Enterobacterales; Enterobacteriaceae. The record is from RNAcentral.
UUAAGCGACUAAGCGUACACGGUGGAUGCCCUGGCAGUCAGAGGCGAUGAAGGACGUGCUAAUCUGCGAUAAGCGUCGGUAAGGUGAUAUGAACCGUUAUAACCGGCGAUUUCCGAAUGGGGAAACCCAGUGUGAUUCGUCACACUAUCAUUAACUGAAUCCAUAGGUUAAUGAGGCGAACCGGGGGAACUGAAACAUCUAAGUACCCCGAGGAAAAGAAAUCAACCGAGAUUCCCCCAGUAGCGGCGAGCGAACGGGGAGCAGCCCAGAGCCUGAAUCAGUGUGUGUGUUAGUGGAAGCGUCUGGAAAGGCGCGCGAUACAGGGUGACAGCCCCGUACACAAAAAUGCACAUGCUGUGAGCUCGAUGAGUAGGGCGGGACACGUGGUAUCCUGUCUGAAUAUGGGGGGACCAUCCUCCAAGGCUAAAUACUCCUGACUGACCGAUAGUGAACCAGUACCGUGAGGGAAAGGCGAAAAGAACCCCGGCGAGGGGAGUGAAAAAGAACCUGAAACCGUGUACGUACAAGCAGUGGGAGCACGCUUAGGCGUGUGACUGCGUACCUUUUGUAUAAUGGGUCAGCGACUUAUAUUCUGUAGCAAGGUUAACCGAAUAGGGGAGCCGAAGGGAAACCGAGUCUUAACUGGGCGUUAAGUUGCAGGGUAUAGACCCGAAACCCGGUGAUCUAGCCAUGGGCAGGUUGAAGGUUGGGUAACACUAACUGGAGGACCGAACCGACUAAUGUUGAAAAAUUAGCGGAUGACUUGUGGCUGGGGGUGAAAGGCCAAUCAAACCGGGAGAUAGCUGGUUCUCCCCGAAAGCUAUUUAGGUAGCGCCUCGUGAAUUCAUCUCCGGGGGUAGAGCACUGUUUCGGCAAGGGGGUCAUCCCGACUUACCAACCCGAUGCAAACUGCGAAUACCGGAGAAUGUUAUCACGGGAGACACACGGCGGGUGCUAACGUCCGUCGUGAAGAGGGAAACAACCCAGACCGCCAGCUAAGGUCCCAAAGUCAUGGUUAAGUGGGAAACGAUGUGGGAAGGCCCAGACAGCCAGGAUGUUGGCUUAGAAGCAGCCAUCAUUUAAAGAAAGCGUAAUAGCUCACUGGUCGAGUCGGCCUGCGCGGAAGAUGUAACGGGGCUAAACCAUGCACCGAAGCUGCGGCAGCGACGCUGAUGCGUUGUUGGGUAGGGGAGCGUUCUGUAAGCCUGCGAAGGUGUGCUGUGAGGCAUGCUGGAGGUAUCAGAAGUGCGAAUGCUGACAUAAGUAACGAUAAAGCGGGUGAAAAGCCCGCUCGCCGGAAGACCAAGGGUUCCUGUCCAACGUUAAUCGGGGCAGGGUGAGUCGACCCCUAAGGCGAGGCCGAAAGGCGUAGUCGAUGGGAAACAGGUUAAUAUUCCUGUACUUGGUGUUACUGCGAAGGGGGGACGGAGAAGGCUAUGUUGGCCGGGCGACGGUUGUCCCGGUUUAAGCGUGUAGGCUGGUUUUCCAGGCAAAUCCGGAAAAUCAAGGCUGAGGCGUGAUGACGAGGCACUACGGUGCUGAAGCAACAAAUGCCCUGCUUCCAGGAAAAGCCUCUAAGCAUCAGGUAACAUCAAAUCGUACCCCAAACCGACACAGGUGGUCAGGUAGAGAAUACCAAGGCGCUUGAGAGAACUCGGGUGAAGGAACUAGGCAAAAUGGUGCCGUAACUUCGGGAGAAGGCACGCUGAUAUGUAGGUGAAGCGACUUGCUCGUGGAGCUGAAAUCAGUCGAAGAUACCAGCUGGCUGCAACUGUUUAUUAAAAACACAGCACUGUGCAAACACGAAAGUGGACGUAUACGGUGUGACGCCUGCCCGGUGCCGGAAGGUUAAUUGAUGGGGUCAGCGCAAGCGAAGCUCUUGAUCGAAGCCCCGGUAAACGGCGGCCGUAACUAUAACGGUCCUAAGGUAGCGAAAUUCCUUGUCGGGUAAGUUCCGACCUGCACGAAUGGCGUAAUGAUGGCCAGGCUGUCUCCACCCGAGACUCAGUGAAAUUGAACUCGCUGUGAAGAUGCAGUGUACCCGCGGCAAGACGGAAAGACCCCGUGAACCUUUACUAUAGCUUGACACUGAACAUUGAGCCUUGAUGUGUAGGAUAGGUGGGAGGCUUUGAAGUGUGGACGCCAGUCUGCAUGGAGCCGACCUUGAAAUACCACCCUUUAAUGUUUGAUGUUCUAACGUUGACCCGUAAUCCGGGUUGCGGACAGUGUCUGGUGGGUAGUUUGACUGGGGCGGUCUCCUCCUAAAGAGUAACGGAGGAGCACGAAGGUUGGCUAAUCCUGGUCGGACAUCAGGAGGUUAGUGCAAUGGCAUAAGCCAGCUUGACUGCGAGCGUGACGGCGCGAGCAGGUGCGAAAGCAGGUCAUAGUGAUCCGGUGGUUCUGAAUGGAAGGGCCAUCGCUCAACGGAUAAAAGGUACUCCGGGGAUAACAGGCUGAUACCGCCCAAGAGUUCAUAUCGACGGCGGUGUUUGGCACCUCGAUGUCGGCUCAUCACAUCCUGGGGCUGAAGUAGGUCCCAAGGGUAUGGCUGUUCGCCAUUUAAAGUGGUACGCGAGCUGGGUUUAGAACGUCGUGAGACAGUUCGGUCCCUAUCUGCCGUGGGCGCUGGAGAACUGAGGGGGGCUGCUCCUAGUACGAGAGGACCGGAGUGGACGCAUCACUGGUGUUCGGGUUGUCAUGCCAAUGGCACUGCCCGGUAGCUAAAUGCGGAAGAGAUAAGUGCUGAAAGCAUCUAAGCACGAAACUUGCCCCGAGAUGAGUUCUCCCUGACUCCUUGAGAGUCCUGAAGGAACGUUGAAGACGACGACGUUGAUAGGCCGGGUGUGUAAGCGCAGCGAUGCGUUGAGCUAACCGGUACUAAUGAACCGUGAGGCUUAACCUU